RNAcentral lists this ribosomal RNA (433 nucleotides) under uncultured bacterium. RNAcentral describes it as "partial 16S ribosomal RNA". It matches the Rfam family "Bacterial small subunit ribosomal RNA", at positions 29 to 507 of the family's 1533-position model. The record is from RNAcentral.
AACGAACGCUGGCGGCAGGCCUAACACAUGCAAGUCGAGCGAGGACUUCGGUCCUAGCGGCGGACGGGUGAGUAACGCGUGGGAACGUGCCCUUUGCUUCGGAAUAGCCGUGGGAAACUGGGAGUAAUACCGGAUGAGCCCUUUGGGGGAAAGAUUUAUCGGCGAAGGAUCGGCCCGCGUUGGAUUAGGUAGUUGGUGGGGUAAUGGCCUACCAAGCCGACGAUCCAUAGCUGGUUUGAGAGGAUGAUCAGCCACACUGGGACUGAGACACGGCCCAGACUCCUACGGGAGGCAGCAGUGGGGAAUCUUAGACAAUGGGGGAAACCCUGAUCUAGCCAUGCCGCGUGAGCGAUGAAGGCCUUAGGGUUGUAAAGCUCUUUCAGCUGGGAAGAUAAUGACGGUACCAGCAGAAGAAGCCCCGGCUAACUCCGUG